This 253-nucleotide ribosomal RNA is filed under the name uncultured prokaryote. Its description in RNAcentral is "partial 16S ribosomal RNA". It matches the Rfam family "Bacterial small subunit ribosomal RNA", at positions 524 to 776 of the family's 1533-position model. The record is from RNAcentral.
UACAGAGGUCUCAAGCGUUGUUCGGAUUCAUUGGGCGUAAAGGGUGCGUAGGUGGCGGGGUAAGUCUGGUGUGAAAUCUCGGAGCUCAACUCCGAAACUGCACUGGAUACUGCCUUGCUCGAGUGCUGGAGAGGAGAUUGGAAUUUACGGUGUAGCAGUGAAGUGCGUAGAUAUCGUAAGGAAGACCGGUGGCGAAGGCGAAUCUCUGGACAGUUACUGACACUGAGGCACGAAGGCCAGGGGAGCAAACGGG